RNAcentral lists this ribosomal RNA (797 nucleotides) under uncultured Pleosporales. RNAcentral describes it as "eukaryotic LSU rRNA". The stretch from base 230 to 797 matches the Rfam family "Eukaryotic large subunit ribosomal RNA", at positions 1 to 573 of the family's 3401-position model. The record is from RNAcentral. Lineage: Eukaryota; Fungi; Ascomycota; Dothideomycetes; Pleosporales.
UCAUCGAAUCUUUGAACGCACAUUGCGCCCUUUGGUAUUCCUUAGGGCAUGCCUGUUCGAGCGUCAUUUAAACCCUCAAGCUCCGCUUGGUGUUGGGUGUCUGUCCUGCCCCCCGGGGCCGGGACUCGCCUUGAAAUCAUUGGCGGCUAGUACAUUGGCUUCGAGCGCAAGCAGAAACGCGAACCUCGGGUCCCGGUGUAUUGGCUCCCAUAAGCUACCCCUUCUAUUUUGACCUCGGACCAGGUAGGGAUACCCGCUGAACUUAAGCAUAUCAAUAAGCGGAGGAAAAGAAACCAACAGGGAUUGCCCUAGUAACGGCGAGUGAAGCGGCAAGAGCUCAAAUUUGAAAUCUGGUCCUUUUAGGGCCCGAGUUGUAAUUUGUAGAGGGUGCUUUGGCGUUGGCUGUGGUCUAAGUUCCUUGGAACAGGACGUCGCAGAGGGUGAGAAUCCCGUAUGUGGCCGCCAGCCUCCGCCGUGUAAAGCCCCUUCGACGAGUCGAGUUGUUUGGGAAUGCAGCUCUAAAUGGGAGGUAAAUUUCUUCUAAAGCUAAAUAUUGGCCAGAGACCGAUAGCGCACAAGUAGAGUGAUCGAAAGAUGAAAAGCACUUUGGAAAGAGAGUCAAAAAGCACGUGAAAUUGUUAAAAGGGAAGCGCUUGCAGCCAGACUUGCCUGUAGUUGCUCAUCCGGGCUCUUGCCCGGUGCACUCUUCUAUGGGCAGGCCAGCAUCAGUCCGGGCGGUUGGAUAAAUGCCUGCUAAAUGUACCUCUCCUCGGGGAGGACUUAUAGGGUAGGCGGCA